UGGUCGGGAUAGCUCAGU
This 18-nucleotide transfer RNA is filed under the name Rubus crataegifolius. RNAcentral's name for it is "partial tRNA-Phe". Lineage: Eukaryota; Viridiplantae; Streptophyta; Magnoliopsida; Rosales; Rosaceae. The record is from RNAcentral.